GACUCUGUAGUUGAUCUACAACAGUAAAUUGCAAGUUUAAAGGUGUGUAGACUUUAGCACCGGAGUUU
This 68-nucleotide transfer RNA is filed under the name Lunella correensis. RNAcentral's name for it is "tRNA-Cys". The record is from RNAcentral. Lineage: Eukaryota; Metazoa; Mollusca; Gastropoda; Trochida; Turbinidae.